ACACUCCAUAUCCCUGCUCCCUCAGAUCUAAAUAUCGGUCUGAACGGCUGGAGGGGGAAUGAAAGUGAAAUUGAAGUGGACUUGGAGUGUCUCGUGACCAACAAGGUCAUUUCAAACGUAU
RNAcentral lists this small nucleolar RNA (121 nucleotides) under Echinops telfairi (small Madagascar hedgehog). RNAcentral's name for it is "Small nucleolar RNA SNORA61 (ENSETEG00000025938.1)". The record is from RNAcentral. Lineage: Eukaryota; Metazoa; Chordata; Mammalia; Afrosoricida; Tenrecidae.